This 174-nucleotide ribosomal RNA is filed under the name Triticum aestivum (bread wheat). Its description in RNAcentral is "partial small subunit ribosomal RNA". Lineage: Eukaryota; Viridiplantae; Streptophyta; Magnoliopsida; Poales; Poaceae. The record is from RNAcentral.
AUGGCUUCUCUUGCUAUGCUGACCAGCUGGACCAUUUGGUGCGAGAGAAAUGCACGGGUGUUUCGUCACAAAUCCACGCUUCCGUCUGUAUUGUUCUCCAACAUUAAGAGCGACGCCAACCUUUGGGUAAUUGCGGGUGCUAAGCACUUGGGUCAAAUCAUGCCGGGAGAGUAG